Molecule: long non-coding RNA, 1097 nt
Organism: Symphalangus syndactylus (siamang)
Lineage: Eukaryota; Metazoa; Chordata; Mammalia; Primates; Hylobatidae
Source: RefSeq, a predicted model, not a curated record
GGGGUCUUCCGGAGCCUCCGGUCGCGGGUCUGAGAGGACGAGGGCGGGAGCGGCGCGGAAGAAAGAGAGGACUGCGUUUUGGGGCGUUCUGUAAGAGCGGAAAGACGUGUGGAUUGGAGUCAGACUGCACUCACGCCUUAUUUCUGCAAGCAGAACUCACUGUCCUUAGAAACGGCCUUCUGAGGCUCUGUUGGGAGGCUCUAACUGUAUUACAGAGGACACAUUUUUGUUUGUUUUUAUGUGAAACAGUCAGAAGUUGCUUCCAUCACGUGCUUCAUAAGUACACUGGUUUUCAAACUUUUUAAGUUGAGGAACUGUUUUGAUUUUUUCUGAAAUAGAACUUUACUUGGAAGCCCAAGAACAUCCAGUGCAAUGUUUAGUGGAAGUGAUAAUGGCAUUCUUGUCCCAUUCCUCACUUUACUGUGAUACUGCUAACAUUUUAUAAUGAUGACAAUGUUUGCUGUGGGGUUUUGGGAGGCAAAGGGAGAUUUGACAAAGAAGAAGGCAAUGGGACUACUGAAACAAAAUGCUAGGCUGCUGGCUUUGAAGAUCAGACUAGGGACCAAAAAUAAAGGAAUGCAAGCAUUUCAUUCAAGCUCUAAAGGCCAGAAAAGGCAAGAAAAACUUUCAGAAGGGAGAGUGACCAUGAUAAUACCUCAAUUUCAGCCCAGUGAAACUGACUUCAGACUUCUGACCUCCUGAACUGCAGGAGAAUAAAUGUAUGCUUUUUAACCUACCAAGUUUCUGGUAAUUUGUUCUAGCAGCCACAGGAAACUAAUACAGUUUUCAACAAAUAUGUGUUGAAUAAAUAAAUCAAUGAACAGUAGGGAUUCAAUAAAUAUUACAUUAAUUAUAAGAUGCCCAGAUUGGUUCUUUGAAUGUGAGAGAAACAUCAUUCUUUAAAUGUAUCUGCAAAGUAAAAGCUAAUUGCAUUAAUAUAAACUGAGUUCUUAUUUACCAACUUUUAUUCUGGUUGUUUUUGUUUUGGUUUGUUGAGAUGGGCAAAUAUGUUAGCUUGAUAAUAAUUGGUUUUAUUUGAUUAUGCAUUUAUUCACAAUGUUGAGGGGUGCCUACUUUCAGAAUACAUAUAUUCAUCA